UAUCCAGUUUUUCUUUUUAUUCUUUUUUUUUAUGUAGGCUGAAGCAAUUGUUACAAUGUACAGGGAGGCACAGUUACAGCAAAAAGUCAUUUAAACAAUGUAAAACAACCUGCACAGGGAGAGGUCAACUCUCAGUACAAACUAGCAACUAAACACAAGAGCAGAAGAGUCACGGAUUCCCAAUGACUCGUUUCUUCUGCCAUGACACUGCCAUACAAUAUGCAAAAGAAACACAAAACAGAACAACAAAAAAAUAGGGCAUAAUCCUAUGGUGAACGUGGGCGAGAGUCUCAUACUAAAACGUUUAAGGGCAAUGACAACCACAUAUUUCAUACUAGCCACUUAGUUCAUUUCAGACAUGGAUAACUGUUUCCUUAUAUUAAAAAAAAGGUGGACCCGUCAGCUCUACACGCGGAGGGGGCGGCCAUUUUGUGGGCUACAUCAACACUCCCGAGUAGGCAGCCAAUUGAUUCACUAGAAGCUAGGGAUAUCGCUUGGUACAAAAUUUCUACUAUGAUUUCGCCUAGCUCGCCGUGUACCUAAAGGUUUUCAUAUGAAUCUUGUUCAAAGUGGACGUGCAGUGGGGGCAGCCAUUUUGUGGUCUGUACCUACAGUCACAAGUACGUAGUCAAUCAACAUACUAUUUAGAGACAACCCCUUUCAGUUGAGAGCCGCCGAGGCAAUCAGUUGAUUACCGUGGGGCUGACUCCCGUCAAGCAAGUUGAUUUUGGCAGGAGAAACGGCCUGUCAUGCAUUUUACAGUGCGGCAGCUACUGCACAAAACAUGAAGUAUUACGUGGAUCGCUGAGGUCCACAAGAGCUUGGGGACCAUCAUCUACAAUGGUCUGACAAGGUUUUGCAUUUAUUACAAAACCCCUUUAAGCAUUAGUGGUAUUCUUAAGGGAACAUUUCUUCAGACAAAAUGGCUGCCUACUGUGAUUUUAUCAACUUCAUCACUUCCUGUGAGAGUGAACAAAAUGGCAUCCUUUGAUUUCAGUUAGCUUGUUAUGUACUCACAGGGUGGAUUAUUUCUAGAGCCAAAUGCACAGGGGGCAGCCAUUUUGUAGCCUGUACCAAUAUCCACGGGCAGGCAACCAAUUCGCUAGAGACCAUAACAUGUUUGAGCCAAAGUGGUAAUUCUUAGGUCGCUUGCAUACGUCUCCAAUUAAAGGUGCAUUUUAGGGUCUGUAUUAUAGUUGCAAUAUCUGCCCCUAAUGAGGUUCUACUGAAGCGGACUUAGUGCUCCUGUGGUUCUACUGAACAAGACUCAUAUGUUGAUGUGAGUAUAAAGCCCAUACUACAGCCAUGUAAAAAAAGGCCUUUGGCCAAGACAAAAUGACUGUCCUCUCUAAUUUUAGGUAGCUUGCCAUGUACACUUAGUACGCUUACUACAAAAUGGCUGCCAUAUCGGUGUUCAUCAUGCUUGCUAUGAACUCAAACAGUGGAUGGCUGGUCAGGCUUUUCUGGAUUUGGAAAGAAAAACCUCAUGGGAUUGAUAUAAAAAAACUGACUUUUUUCCCUAUUAUCAUGUCAUUUAAGUAUGCUGUACUGCGACAUAACAUCUUGAAAGGAAUCACAGCAGCGUACGUCUUCAUACAUGAAACACAACAACUUCACAUGUUACUUCACAUCGAUAGCCAACAAGGAAUUUUGCAGAGUUGGUUUUCUGAGACUAGCACCGUUGACAAUAUUGCAUUUUGGCAUCAUUUAUCCAAUGAGCCUGGGGGGCUCGGGCGUUGGUAACGUGCUGUGUACUUCCCCUCUAAAUCCCGUCUGCCAGUCCUUACCCUGAAAUGCGUUUCUACAAGUGAUAUUGAUGUAGAAAAAAUAUUUAUCAAUAUCGAUGCCAUUUAUAGAUAGAAAAGGGGACCUUGUGUUGGGGAGGGCUUUUUAAAAAAAGGUCCUUGGGAGGCGAGGGAAGGGACUUAAGCGCUAUACAUGGCGGCCUGGCAUCUGCAACAUCUCUGUUUAUAAUGAGGUCUGCAAUCUAAUUGAAUGUGAUUCUAGGUACCCGAGGGAUCAAUUAGCAUUUUUUUUAUUUUAAAAGAAAUUGAUGCCAAAUGCUAUGGACCUCAUCUAUUAAAAGAAAAAUACAAAACAUAAAAACCCUUCAUUUCUAAAAAUUUCUAAAAUGAAAGAAACAUUAAACAUAGACACUUUUCCCCCUCUUCGAGAUGGUAUGAGGUCCGGUAAGUGGUCAUUUUGAUGGUGCAACCCUUUGAGUGUUAUUUUCCCCUCACUUUAUAGAUAUAUAAUUUCUUAUAUAUUACUUUGCCAACAUGGAGAACCAUCAAUCCAGUGCCAAACAUCUCAGGUACCCAAAUAGUGGCCCUCAGACCAUUGACUGAUCACUUUUUUAUACACAGGGCAGAAUUUACUCUGGAGCUGUAGAGUUCAUCCUGAUUUUCUGGCACCAUCUUCUCACAUCCAGCUGACCAUAGCUGUCUCAGUGAAUAUCUCAAAAAGAUUCUACAUUUUUGGAAUCCCAUCAGGGCAGAAGUUCAAGAAUUGUUAAAACUCUACAUUUGUAAAAUUGGCUCCAUUUUAUGAUAUUGAUUCGAGAGUCACUGUAUGUCCAAAUGGCCUAAAACCAUUUCACUGGUUUCUCUACCCGGAUCUUCCAUUUUCCAAAAACUUCUAUAGAUUUCAUUUGACCUAUUAAAGUAGGGGGGGAGGGAUCAGUGUAAUUAGUAUUAUUCUAUAUACAUAAAAAAAAAUUGUGCUACAGUGCUAUUUCCUACCAUUAAACAAGUCAUAAAAUACAUAACAUAUAACCCAGAGAAUGUCCUCGAAACUGAAUUUUCCUUCGUUCCAUUUAAGUCCUGUGCCAAAUUAGUGUAAAAAAAUGUGAAAAAA
Molecule: long non-coding RNA, 2856 nt
Organism: Bufo bufo (common toad)
Lineage: Eukaryota; Metazoa; Chordata; Amphibia; Anura; Bufonidae
Exons: 2
Source: RefSeq, a predicted model, not a curated record